RNAcentral lists this ribosomal RNA (735 nucleotides) under uncultured Cyanobium sp. RNAcentral describes it as "bacterial SSU rRNA". It matches the Rfam family "Bacterial small subunit ribosomal RNA", at positions 781 to 1515 of the family's 1533-position model. Lineage: Bacteria; Bacillati; Cyanobacteriota; Cyanophyceae; Synechococcales; Prochlorococcaceae. The record is from RNAcentral.
GAUACCCCUGUAGUCCUGGCCGUAAACGAUGAACACUAGGUGUCGGGGGAAUCGACCCCCUCGGUGUCGUAGCCAACGCGUUAAGUGUUCCGCCUGGGGAGUACGCACGCAAGUGUGAAACUCAAAGGAAUUGACGGGGGCCCGCACAAGCGGUGGAGUAUGUGGUUUAAUUCGAUGCAACGCGAAGAACCUUACCAGGGUUUGACAUCCUGCGAAUCCCUUGGAAACGAGGGAGUGCCUUCGGGAACGCAGUGACAGGUGGUGCAUGGCUGUCGUCAGCUCGUGUCGUGAGAUGUUGGGUUAAGUCCCGCAACGAGCGCAACCCACGUCUUUAGUUGCCAGCAUUUAGUUGGGCACUCUAGAGAGACUGCCGGUGAUAAACCGGAGGAAGGUGUGGAUGACGUCAAGUCAUCAUGCCCCUUACAUCCUGGGCUACACACGUACUACAAUGCUACGGACAAAGGGCAGCAAACUCGCGAGAGCUAGCCAAUCCCAUAAACCGUGGCUCAGUUCAGAUCGUAGGCUGCAACUCGCCUACGUGAAGGAGGAAUCGCUAGUAAUCGCAGGUCAGCAUACUGCGGUGAAUACGUUCCCGGGCCUUGUACACACCGCCCGUCACACCAUGGAAGUUGGCCACGCCCGAAGUCGUUACUCCAACCCUUGUGGAGGAGGAUGCCGAAGGUGGGGCUGAUGACUGGGGUGAAGUCGUAACAAGGUAGCCGUACCGGAAGGUGC